GACGAACGCUGGCGGCGUGCUUAACACAUGCAAGUCGAACGGAAAGGCCCUGCUUUUGUGGGGUGCUCGAGUGGCGAACGGGUGAGUAACACGUGAGUAACCUGCCCUUGACUUUGGGAUAACUUCAGGAAACUGGGGCUAAUACCGGAUAGGAGCUCCUGCUGCAUGGUGGGGGGUGGAAAGUUUCGGCGGUUGGGGAUGGACUCGCGGCUUAUCAGCUUGUUGGUGGGGUAGUGGUUUACCAAGGCUUUGACGGGUAGCCGGCCGGAGGGGGUGACCGGCCAAAUGGGGACGGGAAUCCGGCCCAACCCCUCACGGGGGGCAGCAGGGGGGAAUAUGGCACAAUGGGCGGAAGCCUGAGCCAGCACCGCCCGUGGCGGGAUGACGGCCUUCGGGUUGUAAACCGCUUUCGCCUUUGACGAAGCGGGAGUGACGGUAAUGGGAAAAGAAGCACCGGCUAACUACGU
This 467-nucleotide ribosomal RNA is filed under the name uncultured bacterium. RNAcentral describes it as "partial 16S ribosomal RNA". It matches the Rfam family "Bacterial small subunit ribosomal RNA", at positions 28 to 506 of the family's 1533-position model. The record is from RNAcentral.